AAUGAGUGGAGGUCAGAGGAGCCUCUUGAAGAAGAUACAGGUCUGUGAGACAGAAAUAUUGCUUGUUUGUGGCUGACCAAAUACUUAUUUUCCACCAUACUUUACAAAUAAAUUCUUUAAAAAUCCUACAAUGUGAUUUUCUGGAUUUUUUUUUCUCAUUUUUUUCUCUCAUAGUUGAAGUGUACCUAUGUUGAAAA
This is a long non-coding RNA of Thalassophryne amazonica, 197 nucleotides long. RefSeq lists it as uncharacterized. The transcript has 3 exons. Lineage: Eukaryota; Metazoa; Chordata; Actinopteri; Batrachoidiformes; Batrachoididae. The record is from RefSeq and is a predicted model, not a curated record.